AAAAAAAAAAAAAAGGCUAAAUAUCCACAUAUCCAUACAUGAGAGAAGUUCAGGGUGAAGGCACAGGUGAACGCCGAUGGGGUGUCUCUGGUGACGAGCUUACAGGGGCUUUUGUGCAUUUUCCCAAUCCCACGGGGAACCUGUUGAAUUCUGAAGCUGAGACCGGUGUACGCGUUCUAGAGAACGGUUCUCUAAGCACAGACGCUGCCUUCUAACCAUGGCGAGGAGGGUGCCCGGAGCCAAGGGAGGUGGCCCCAGCGAGCUGCGUGGCCAGCCUCACCCCGCAGCAGAGGCAGGUGGUCAGUCUUCACCCGCAGUCAUGGGGUGGGUGGAGAGGGAGAGGGUGCAGAGAGGGGCCUGUGCCCGUCCCUUGGCACAGCUGUUCUCCACUUGGUCUCUCCCUUGGUGGCCGCUGGUUGCCGACUAACCGGGUGCCCUUUGUGGGUUCUUCCUCUGCAGAGGCUGCUGGGCUUGGCUGCUGGGUUGUACUUCCUGCGGUGAGGGAGGAGGACACUCCACUGCAGCGGGGCCAUUUGGGUUCGAAGCUCCUGCUGGAGCUUCCCUUCCUCAGCUUCCUGCUGGGCGUCUUGCUGUGAGGGAGCUGCGUCAGAGUUUUUGGUAGAUGCUACUGUAGACCUCAUAUCCGAUGAGUGGGAAGCUGCUCAUGCCAUACCCCGCAAGAGAAGGAAGCAGGACGCAGCCCCGCUUGAGGCCGCCGGCGUGCCUUCUGCAGACUGUGAGCAG
Molecule: non-coding RNA, 744 nt
Organism: Chlorocebus sabaeus (green monkey)
Lineage: Eukaryota; Metazoa; Chordata; Mammalia; Primates; Cercopithecidae
Source: RefSeq, a predicted model, not a curated record